CAACAACUCCUUUCAACAAUAACAGCUUCAACAGCACAAGACGGUUGCGCCAGGCUUUCACGAUGCGUUCAAGUAGGAAAUCUCCUGCCUCAUCUCUUGGGCAGCCCGUCUUCGCACCAAUGAAUGCGGUGAGGCAGUGCAGGCAAUCCGUGCCGCUGAUUUGCUACCUCCCAAGGCCGCUGAAACUCUGAUCCUGGCGGCGACAAAUGCUGCUGCGCCUUCCUCCACUUUGCCAAACCUUGGCGGAUUUUGCCAGUUUCGAAGGAGAAAAAAAUGAAAAAAUGGAAAAAUGAAAAAAAAGGAAACAAUCACGGGCCAAGAGAAGGUUUCGCUUGCGGAUGGCAAAGAUCCCUUUCUAUGGGACUGGAGAGAGAAUUUGCAUUACGGCGUACUCCCAUGUUUUGAUCGAAUUCCCUAUGUUGUUUUUCACCUAGCUAGG
This 439-nucleotide small RNA is filed under the name Histoplasma capsulatum. Its description in RNAcentral is "hypothetical RNA". RNAcentral also lists the same sequence under 1 other name. The record is from RNAcentral. Lineage: Eukaryota; Fungi; Ascomycota; Eurotiomycetes; Onygenales; Ajellomycetaceae.